AGUUGAAGGAGAAAGUGACUGCAGUCCUGAAUCUGUUGACUGAGAGCUGCCGUUUGCACCGCGAGACACGCCACUACCUCAGACAACAGAUCCUCCCCCCUCUGAGGGAUGUGGCACUGAGGCCGGGGCCACAGUGAGGGGACGUGGACACGGACAUGAAGCACUGUGCUGCCGAGCUCCUCUUUGUGCUCUGCAAAGAGAACGGGACAAGAUCAUCCAACCAGUGGGAGUGACAACAGGGGGGAGUCUGGAGUCCCUGUGUGGUCAGAUAAGGGGGAGCACUGUGGAAGAGGUGGAAUCAGAAGGAGAGAGGGAAAAGUAGGGAGGAGAGAAAAAAAAAGUGAGAGAUAGGAGGGUGGAGUAAGACGAUUACAAGGAGUUAGGAUGACGUUACAGCAUAGGAUGGUGAAGAGAGAGAGAGUAAGAGAGAUAGAGGUUGGUUUGUAUUUAUAUAGCACAGUGGUGGAAAAAGUAUCCAAUUGUCAUACUUGAGUAAAAGUGAUGAUACCUUAAUAGAAAAUGCCUCAAGUAAACGUGAAAGUAACCUAGCAAAAACGAUUUGGUUUUAAAUAUACUUAAGUAUCAAAAGUAAAAGACAAUGCAAAAAAUAUACUUAAAUAUCAAAAUUAAAAGUAAAUGCUAUAAAUCCUUUCAAAUUCCUUAUAUUAAGCAAACCAUUUCAGAACAAUUUAUUUGAUUUUUAUUUAUUUAUGGAUAGCCAGGGGCACACUCCAACAUCAUUCACAAACAAAGCAUUUGUGUUUAGUGAGUCCGCCAGAUCAGAAGCUGUAGGGAUGACCAUGUGUUUUCUUGAUACGUUUGUGAAUUAGACACAUUUCCUGUCCUGCUAAGCAUUUGAAAUGUAGCAAGUACUUUUGGGUGUCAGAAAAAAACCAAAUAAACUACAUAUUUUAUUUAGGAAUGUAGCUGAGUAAAAGUUGUACAAAAUAUAAAUAAUAAAGUAAAGAUACCCCCCAAAAAUACUUAAGUAGUACUUCAAAAUAUUUUUUACUUUCAUCCAUUUACUUGAAAGCAAUUUAAUUUGGAGCGUGUCUGUACCCCACCUCAUCUGUCCCUAUGUGUAGCACUAGUUUGAAUGUACUGUAUACGGUAGCAUCACCCACCAAAACAACACUCUUAGAAACACUGUAGCCAGGUACAUUCAUCGAGGGAGAAAAAAACGCAAGAGAAAGGACAAGGAGCAGAGAAUAGAGUCCUCAGAUUCCUUGCCAAUCGUAGUGUUGUUAUGCUUCCAUAUCCUUUAUUUUCCACUCUGGUUCCUCUCCUGGAGAUACCCCCACUUAUAUUCAAGGGUGCAAUGCCAUUUGCUUGUAACAGGGGAUAGAUCUGGUUGAGUGUGUGGUGUGUUUGUGUGUUCCUGUACUUGUACACUCCACCCAACCAAGGAGCCAAUCCACUCUGAGGACAUUAUCCCAAUGUGGAACAUAUAUCAGAAUUGGACUGGAGGCAAUAACAGGUCCAUGAUGAUUGUAAUCAAUGAUGUGGGAGCAGUUAUUGUGCAGGUGUCUGUCCCUGUCAUGUGAAGGGAAAGGGUAGCAUUACCUUUGAGUAACAUGCUUUUUCCUCUUCCAAAAUGUUGUCAUUCAUUCCUCUGCGUAUAUACUUCCUUUCCCCUCCAAUAUUUGCUGUAGUGUAAAAUGCAUAUGGUUUCUCAGGUGGAAAUAUAAAUAAACCAUUCCUGCUGUACUGUACUGUCACAGUGUCUGCCUUGGAUAGGAAAAUAAUCAAUAGGGGUAAAAUCCUCUGAAACUCUU
Non-coding RNA from Salmo salar (Atlantic salmon), 1775 nucleotides. Lineage: Eukaryota; Metazoa; Chordata; Actinopteri; Salmoniformes; Salmonidae. The record is from RefSeq and is a predicted model, not a curated record.